Long non-coding RNA from Petromyzon marinus (sea lamprey), 219 nucleotides. RefSeq lists it as uncharacterized. The record is from RefSeq and is a predicted model, not a curated record. Lineage: Eukaryota; Metazoa; Chordata; Hyperoartia; Petromyzontiformes; Petromyzontidae.
UAAUUUGAAAUUACAAGUGGCAGCCGCCUUGCUAAACCGCGGAUACACGAAACGCCAUACCGUGGUGAGCAAAUUGUUAUGCCGAAGGAAAACCGUCCAGGUUAUCGAACUCGUGUGGCCAGGUUUAUGGCACAAUCGAGGACACGUGUAACGAGGUGUGGAUUACCAAUUCAUUCUACCUCUUCCAAGACGUACGUGGUGAGCGUUUAAGAGAAAACC